AGGCAACGGCUGCCUGUCGGGCGGCGUGCGGAGCGGUCAUGGACGCCUCAGCGAAAGUCCGUGGCUUUGUCGCCGAAUAUAAACAACGUUAGCUACGUUACCUGAGCAGUAUUUGUCUUUGCUUAGAAAACGGGCAGCUGAAAGAUGAUGUAUGUGAGCCAGCGUUCUCUGGACCUCAUGUUUUCCCUUAUUCUGCUGGCCAUGGUGCUGCUGUCCUGGGGGUACGUGAUCUAUGGCACACGCGUAGCUGCACAGUGGGAGCUGGAGAAGAGAGUGAAUACCCAGCCGUGAUGUGCAGCAUCACAGCGUGGAGAAGCCAGUGUCCUAGGGGACGUGUGUGUACGCCAUGCUAGUGCAGGUGCAGACACUGCUAAUGUUCUUAUAUUCAUUCUUGCAUUCAUAUGGACUUGGCAAAAUGAAUGACCCCUAAGCUGAUUUGCAGAGGUGUGUCUGUAUGUUGGAUGUGCCUAUUUUUAAGAAAUGCAUUUUUAAUGAAACAUUUCCAUAAAUUUUAAGCAAUUAUUAAAAAAAAAAAAUCUUCCUUUACAACCGUUGACGUCUGUAGUAGAAAUGAUGUAAAAAUAAAUACCAGUUUCAACCACUAGAUGACGCUCAUCGUAAAUAAAACGAGGGGCACUGCACAAUGGCCGAUAUCCGCACAGCCGUGUCUGAGCUAGGCUUA
Molecule: long non-coding RNA, 682 nt
Organism: Electrophorus electricus (electric eel)
Lineage: Eukaryota; Metazoa; Chordata; Actinopteri; Gymnotiformes; Gymnotidae
Source: RefSeq, a predicted model, not a curated record